ACGAGAGCGGAGAGGACGCGGUGACGCUCGCUCCGACCUGUUACUGAGCGAAUUCACAUAUUUUUGUCUUUCGCUUGAAUUUUUUCACUUUAAUUCGUCCAUACACCUGUUCUGUGUUUGCGUGUGUGUUCUGUCUGUGUGUGAGCAUUAUUUCUAACAAAGACAUUUAUUUUGUGUGUGUGAUUUUUUUUUGGUUUUGUUUGCAUUCUGGAAGAAACAAAGUUCUGAAAUUGCAUUCCCUUGGGCCUGUGUGUGCGCAUGGACGUGUACAUGUAUGUGCGUCUGUGUGUACGUCUGCUUGUGUACGUGCGCACGCGGGAUGGGCUAUCGCAGUUGUCAUGGCAAUGCCCUUAUGAGAACGGACAAGCCAGGGGCGCAAAGCGAGAGCAUCCUCGGCUCGAGUGGUUCUGCAACUUGCAACGCCCAUCAUCGGUGUCGUUAUCAUUAUUAUGAGUAUUAUCGUCAUUUUGCUAUUUUAACAGGAAUCUGCUAAAGAGUUAUGAAUAAAUAAAUAAUGAAGCAAAAAGAUAAAUAGACAGAUAAAUACGAUAAGCGAAUAGAGACGUAAAUUAGGAAACCAGGAAAUACAGACACAUCGAAGAAUAAUAAAUGAAGGAUAAGUGAAAAAAAAAAAAGGGAAAGAGAAAGAGACAAGAAAUAAUGAUAAAAAUGAAAAAUAAAUGAAUGAUGAAUAAAUAAACAGGUAGAUACAGCAAAUUACAGAUUAUAUUUUCUAUCAAAUGAAAAUUAGCGCGAAUGACUUUUAAGACAAUAUAAGAAAUCAUAUAAAUAAUUUAGUGAAAAAGGUAAGACACAAGGAUGAUAUAGAUAAGACAUAUCUAUAAUAAAAAAGAUAUAAAGAGAUAGUGGACAUAAAAAAAAGUAUUUGUUUUGAUAACAACACUGGAGAAAGCAUUGGAAUAAAUAUUAUUGGUCAUUAUGCAAUAAAAUCGACGAAGGCAAACAACAACAACAGCAACAAAAGCAACAACAGCAACAACAGCAACAACAAAAACAACAACAACAGCUGUUCUUACAACAACAACAACAACAACAACAACAAAAUCAACAACAAUGGGAGCUUCGGAGGAAACAACCGUGAGCUUGACUGGUCAAACAGAGAGCAUCGUGGAGACCCGGAGCGCAAGAAGACGGAAUCUAGA
Long non-coding RNA from Penaeus monodon (black tiger shrimp), 1163 nucleotides. RefSeq lists it as uncharacterized. NCBI's taxonomy places the organism in Eukaryota, Metazoa, Arthropoda, Malacostraca, Decapoda, Penaeidae. The transcript has 5 exons. The record is from RefSeq and is a predicted model, not a curated record.